GCAUUGCUGAUGAGACCCAACCAGGUCGAAACAGCUGUCAAAUCAUAC
This is a non-coding RNA of Echinostoma caproni, 48 nucleotides long. The record is from Rfam. NCBI's taxonomy places the organism in Eukaryota, Metazoa, Platyhelminthes, Trematoda, Plagiorchiida, Echinostomatidae.